GGGUCCGGACACACUGAGGAUUGACAGAUAUACGCUCAUUGCAGUUCGCUGCAUGAGCUGAAAGAUGCUAGUUCUUUCAUGAUUAUGUGAUAGGUGGUGCAUGGCCGUUCUUAGUUCGUGGAGUGAUCUGUCUGCUUAAUUGCGUAUCAAUAAUAGAGACCUAGUAUACGCGUGGAUUUCGCGUGGUAGUGACCUCCUGUUUAACGACAGGCGUGUGUCGCACACGCGUACCUACGCACUGGUCUCAGAUAGCAACGAACGUGACCGUAUUCUAUUGUUGCAGUGAAAUGUGCCUUCGGGUACGACCCACUGCUUAGUAUAUGUACGUGCUUCGGCGCGAACAAUAUACAUUAAACUAUAGAGACCGCUGUUUCUUCUUUAAACCAGAGGAAGGAUACGGCAAUAACAGGUCUGUGAUGCCCUCAGAUGUUCCGGGCUGCACACGUGCUACAAUGGUCAUUGCACUGUGCAUCUAACCCAAUGUGCGCGGACGCCGCAUGCAUGUGCCUUCGGGUACACGCAUUGCUGUUGCGACCACGCCGAACCUACUUCGAAAGUAAAAUUUCUCAGUGGGU
This 575-nucleotide ribosomal RNA is filed under the name Ammonia sp. genotype T2. RNAcentral describes it as "bacterial SSU rRNA". The stretch from base 1 to 451 matches the Rfam family "Eukaryotic small subunit ribosomal RNA", at positions 1220 to 1501 of the family's 1831-position model. The record is from RNAcentral. Lineage: Eukaryota; Foraminifera; Rotaliida; Rotaliidae.